Molecule: ribosomal RNA, 484 nt
Filed under: uncultured bacterium
Lineage: Bacteria
Description: partial 16S ribosomal RNA
Rfam family: Bacterial small subunit ribosomal RNA
Source: RNAcentral
AUUGAACGCUGGCGGCAGGCCUAACACAUGCAAGUCGAGCGGAUGAAGGGAGCUUGCUCCUGGAUUCAGCGGCGGACGGGUGAGUAAUGCCUAGGAAUCUGCCUGGUAGUGGGGGAUAACGUCCGGAAACGGGCGCUAAUACCGCAUACGUCCUGAGGGAGAAAGUGGGGGAUCUUCGGACCUCACGCUAUUAGAUGAGCCUAGGUCGGAUUAGCUAGUUGGUGGGGUAAAGGCCUACCAAGGCGACGAUCCGUAACUGGUCUGAGAGGAUGAUCAGUCACACUGGAACUGAGACACGGUCCAGACCCCUACGGGAGGCAGCAGUGGGGAAUAUUGGACAAUGGGCGAAAGCCUGAUCCAGCCAUGCCGCGUGUGUGAAGAAGGUCUUCGGAUUGUAAAGCACUUUAAGUUGGGAGGAAGGGCAGUAAGUUAAUACCUUGCUGUUUUGACGUUACCAACAGAAUAAGCACCGGCUAACUUCGUG